GUGCCAGCAGCCUCGGUAAUUCCAGCUCCAAUAGCGUAUAUUAAAGUUGUUGUGGGGGAAAAGCUCGUAGUUGAACCUUGGGCCUGGCUGGCCGGUCCGCCUCACCGCGUGCACUGGUCCGGCCGGGCCUUUCCCUCUGUGGAACCCCAUACCCUUCACUGGGCGUGGCGGGGAAACAGGACAUUUACUUUGAAAAAAUUAGAGUGCUCCAGGCAGGCCUAUGCUCGAAUACAUCAGCAUGGAAUAAUAAAAUAGGACGCGCGGUUCUAUUUUGUUGGUUUAUAGGACCGCCGUAAUGAUUAAUAGGGACAGUCGGGGGCAUCAGUAUUCAACUGUCAGAGGUGAAAUUCUUGGAUCAGUUGAAGACUAACUACUGCGAAAGCAUUUGCCAAGGAUGUUUUCAUUAAUCAGGAACGAAAGUUAGGGGAUCGAAGACGAUCAGAUACCGUCGUAGUCUUAACCAUAAACUAUGCCGACUAGGGAUCGGACGGUGUUAUUCAUGACCCGUUCGGCACCUUACGAGAAAUCAAAGUGCUUGGGCUCCAGGGGGAGUAUGGUCGCAAGGCUGAAACUUAAAAGAAAUUGACGGAAGGCACCACCAGGGGUGGAGCCUGCGGGCUUAAUUUGACUUCAAUACGGGGAAACUCACCAGGUCCAGACACAAUAAGGAAUGAAAGAUUGAGAGCUCUUUCUUUGAUUUUGUGGGUGGUGGGGCAUGGACCGUUUCUAAGUUGGUGGGGUGAAUUUGGUCUUGCUUAAUUUGCGAUAUGAACGAGGACCUUAACAUGCCUAUAUAACCAGGAUUGCCCCGGCCGAGCGGCGUGCGUAUAUUAGAGAGGACUU
This 843-nucleotide ribosomal RNA is filed under the name uncultured fungus. RNAcentral's name for it is "SSU rRNA". It matches the Rfam family "Eukaryotic small subunit ribosomal RNA", at positions 564 to 1399 of the family's 1831-position model. Lineage: Eukaryota; Fungi. The record is from RNAcentral.